RNAcentral lists this ribosomal RNA (585 nucleotides) under uncultured bacterium. Its description in RNAcentral is "partial 16S ribosomal RNA". It matches the Rfam family "Bacterial small subunit ribosomal RNA", at positions 355 to 1375 of the family's 1533-position model. The record is from RNAcentral.
UGGGGAAUUUUGGACAAUGGGCGAAAGCCUGAUCCAGCAAUGCCGCGUGUGUGAAGAAGGCCUUCGGGUUGUAAAGCACUUUUGUCCGGAAAGAAAUCCUUGGCUCUAAUACAGUCGGGGGAUGACGGUACCGGAAGAAUAAGCACCGGCUAACUACGUGCCAGCAGCCGCGGUAAUACGUAGGGUGCAAGCGUUAAUCGGAAUUACUGGGCGUAAAGCGUGCGCAGGCGGUUUGCUAAGACCGAUGUGAAAUCCCCGGGCUCAACCUGGGAACUGCAUUGGUGACUGGCAGGCUAGAGUAUGGCAGAGGGGGGUAGAAUUCCACGUGUAGCAGUGAAAUGCGUAGAGAUGUGGAGGAAUACCGAUGGCGAAGGCAGCCCCCUGGGCCAAUACUGACGCUCAUGCGCGAAAGCGUGGGGAGCAAACAGGAUUAGAUACCCUGGUAGUCCACGCCCUAAACGAUGUCAACUAGUUGUUGGGGAUUCAUUUCCUUAGUAACGUAGCUAACGCGUGAAGUUGACCGCCUGGGGAGUACGGUCGCAAGAUUAAAACUUAAAGGAAUUGACGGGGUCAUAGCUGUUUCCU